This 172-nucleotide ribosomal RNA is filed under the name uncultured Alphaproteobacteria bacterium. RNAcentral's name for it is "partial 16S ribosomal RNA". It matches the Rfam family "Bacterial small subunit ribosomal RNA", at positions 335 to 524 of the family's 1533-position model. RNAcentral also lists the same sequence under 2 other names. The record is from RNAcentral. Lineage: Bacteria; Pseudomonadati; Pseudomonadota; Alphaproteobacteria.
ACUCCUACGGGAGGCAGCAGUGGGGAAUAUUGGACAAUGGGCGAAAGCCUGAUCCAGCCAUGCCGCGUGAGUGAUGAAGGCCCUAGGGUUGUAAAGCUCUUUUGUGCGGGAAGAUAAUGACGGUACCGCAAGAAUAAGCCCCGGCUAACUUCGUGCCAGCAGCCGCGGUAAU